AGAACGAACGCUGGCGGCAGGCCUCAAACAUGCAAGUCUAGGGGGUGUAGCAAUACAUCACCGGCGGACGGGUGCGUAACGCGUGGGAAUGUACCUAUUGGUUCGGAACAACUGAGGGAAACUUCAGCUAAUACCGGAUGAGCCCGAAAGGGGAAAGAUUUCUCGCCAAUAGAUCAGCCCGCGUCCGAUUAGCUAGUUGGUGGGGUUAAAGCCUACCAAGGCGACGAUCGGUAGCUGUUCUGAGAGGAAGAUCAGCCACACUGGGACUGAGACACGGCCCAGACUCCUACGGGAGGCAGCAGUUGGGAAUCUUGGACAAUGGGGGAAACCCUGAUCCAGCCAUGCCGCGUGAGUGAUGAAGGCCUUCGGGUUGUAAACUCUUUCGACGGGGACGAUAAUGACGGUACCCGUAGAAGAGCUCCGGCUAACUUCGCGCCAGCAGCCGC
RNAcentral lists this ribosomal RNA (446 nucleotides) under uncultured bacterium. RNAcentral describes it as "SSU rRNA". It matches the Rfam family "Bacterial small subunit ribosomal RNA", at positions 26 to 518 of the family's 1533-position model. The record is from RNAcentral.